GCGAGCGACUCUGGAGAGACCGGAACCAGCCGGCGCCGAAGGGGCAUGGGCAACACGCCCAAAACUCUCAGGCAAAAGGACAGAGGGGCGCCC
Molecule: non-coding RNA, 93 nt
Filed under: Arenimonas malthae
Lineage: Bacteria; Pseudomonadati; Pseudomonadota; Gammaproteobacteria; Lysobacterales; Lysobacteraceae
Description: Glycine sequence
Rfam family: Glycine riboswitch aptamer
About the family: This family represents the bacterial glycine riboswitch. Glycine riboswitches usually consist of two metabolite-binding aptamers domains with similar structures in tandem. The aptamers cooperatively bind glycine to regulate the expression of downstream genes.
Source: RNAcentral